This 508-nucleotide long non-coding RNA is filed under the name Vitis vinifera (wine grape). Its description in RNAcentral is "long non-coding RNA (VVIN_LNC006052)". Lineage: Eukaryota; Viridiplantae; Streptophyta; Magnoliopsida; Vitales; Vitaceae. The record is from RNAcentral.
CAAUGGAUUUCGCCAAUUCACCCACGGCUGCCACAAUUCUGGAUGACGAAACCCCGCUUGUGGCAGUCGCAAGGUGCUCGAAUGCGAAUGCCAGAAGAGAAUCACCGGCCAGAACGGCGACGUCUUCCCCGAAGACUUUGUGGUUGGUGGGCUUUCCUCGCCGGAGGUCGUCGUUGUCCAUACAGGGGAGGUCGUCGUGAAUCAGAGACAUAGUGUGAAUCAUUUCGACCGCACAAGCCGCCGGCAUGGCGUUGGACUCAUCUCCGCCCACGAGCUCGCAAGCGGCUAAACAGAGAGCCGGUCGGACACGCUUGCCGCCGGCGAGGAGAGAGUAGCGCAUUGCUUCAUGGAUUUUGAUAGGGCUUUUCACGUAAACAGCCUCGUCCAAGGCUUUAUGCACCGAACUGGCCUUCUGAAUCAUGUAAUCCUUGAAACUGAAGGGCGUUUCCUUCUGGGUGGGGCCCUUCCCCUCCUUCACAGAGUCCUCCUUUGUGAUAAUCGCAAAAAC